UUAUAUCCCUGUUAAUUAUGAACUGUAGGUAGCCUUAUUAUCCUCUGUUAAUUAUGAACCUGUAGGUAGCCUUAUAUCCCUCUGUUAAUUAUGAACCUGUAGGUAGCCUUAUAUCCCAAAGUAUGAUUGAUUAACAUAUUUUCUUAAAUAUACGUUUUUCCUUUUAAAGCAUCCUCUGAUUGAUCAA
Salvelinus sp. IW2-2015 is the source of this 187-nucleotide non-coding RNA. The record is from RefSeq and is a predicted model, not a curated record. Lineage: Eukaryota; Metazoa; Chordata; Actinopteri; Salmoniformes; Salmonidae.